Molecule: long non-coding RNA, 1373 nt
Filed under: Triticum aestivum (bread wheat)
Lineage: Eukaryota; Viridiplantae; Streptophyta; Magnoliopsida; Poales; Poaceae
Description: long non-coding RNA (TAES_LNC001694)
Source: RNAcentral
UACCUCUGUUGUAACUUUGACUGUCAGUCAUUCAGUUCGAAGUGAAAACACACAGAAAACUGUACCGUUAAGUGGUGUUGUCUCCUAUGCAUGGAUCAACCUGGAUGGAGGGCGAUGGAUCGGGGACGUAGCGGCAGUGGCCAGGUCUGGUGUAGUUGACAGUUAUCUUCAGUUCAGGCCUUGAAAUCUCAAUAUUUGAACGACCAGAAUCUUCCUUUCAGUUGAGUGCAUGAUAUUACUUUGGAAGCAAACUGCAACUUUCUUGAGGUGCCCAAUACUAAACUGGGAGGUGCUGGGAGGCUGAUGCUUAACUACAUCGGGAUGAAACUGAUAUCGAGGUGAGUAGACACAUGCUUGCCUACUUUAUUCUUUUAGUAUGAAUUGAUUAGCAUUUCAUAGAAACAUGAUGUAUGUGAUAUAUUUGAAUCAACAAGCUAUGCGAUUUUUUUCAUUACGCAAUACAAAAGUAUGUUGCUACACCUUAUUUUCAAGGAAUACAGAAAUAUAUUGCUAUACCUUAUUUUCAGCAGUUAUAAAAUAUGUAUUCAAUUUAAUAGUUUUGAUAGAAUGCUCAUGUCAAGUUGCUAAUGUGGUUGGACAGAGAAAAAAUAUAUUGAAUUCAGUUGUUUUCAAUAGGCAGUGUGAUUUAUUAUUAAUUAGGAAAUACAGAAAAAAUGUGUGUAGGUAUCUUGAUUCUCUUAGAUGCCACUCCUGGUCAUGUCAUUUUUAACAUUACUGAACUUUUUAGAGUUCUGUUUCGACUGUAUUUUAGAGAGAACAUGCAAACUGAAGAAGUAGAGCGAUCCUCAGUUUUUUAUAUAGGUUACUUAUUGGGUUAAAAAAUUCCUCCAUUACGAAUUUUCUUCACCAACAAAUAUAAACGUAUACCUAUCUAAACUCACACUACACUCUGUAAUGACCUGCUAGUGAUGCCUAAUACCUCAAUUUUCAUUUUACACCACCCAGAUAUUCAUUUUUGGGGGGAUCUUUUUGUGGUGAUGAUAGCUACCCUUGGUAUUGGAGAAGACCGAGGAGGAUAGAUAGUCAAUGGUGCAGGCUGCAUGACUUGGCCGAAGGUUGGCGCAAGUAUUCAUGGGGCCAGAGAAACGGGAGUUGGAACUUCCGAAAAAUGCUUUUAACUGACAUCUGUUGUAGCUCCACAAGCUUAAAAUGAGAGUAGGGUUGUGCAAAACAUCGUCACAUAUUUUGAUUUAUUGUCAGUUCCUUUCAUGAUUAAAAAAAUUGUAUGCCCCUUACAACACUUUUUAUGAUAUACUUCUUGGCGAAGUAUCAGGUGAAAAUGACUAUUCGGUGAAAAUCUAAAAAUUUCUAUCGUGGACUGUUGGAUCAGGAGGGGGCGUCAUGGAUUACAG